RNAcentral lists this long non-coding RNA (232 nucleotides) under Lathyrus oleraceus (garden pea). RNAcentral describes it as "Pisum sativum (pea) long non-coding RNA (PSAT_LNC004647)". The record is from RNAcentral. Lineage: Eukaryota; Viridiplantae; Streptophyta; Magnoliopsida; Fabales; Fabaceae.
CUUACAACUACCGGUAUAAGGGUAGAGGCCCGAAACUCCGCUGGGGAUAUAAAUCACCACAGGGAAGCACAAUGAAUAGACGACAAAUGUCAAUUAGGAACCUCCAUCCCAAUAUAUGUGUUGGGAGGAAACGGAAGAAACCGUCAUCCACGAGGGUUUAUCUCAGUGGGGAACUGCAGAAGGAAAAGACAGACACUUUCUGCUUAUGGGCUGACUCUAUAUGGAGAGAUUU